UGUACAAUGACUCUCGGCAACGGAUAUCUCGGCUCUUGCAUCGAUGAAGAACGUAGCGAAAUGCGAUACUUGGUGUGAAUUGCAGAAUCCCGUGAACCAUCGAGUCUUUGAACGCAAGUUGCGCCCGAAGCCAUUAGGUCGAGGGCACGUCUGCCUGGGUGUCACA
This 166-nucleotide ribosomal RNA is filed under the name Gliricidia robusta. Its description in RNAcentral is "5.8S ribosomal RNA". It matches the Rfam family "5.8S ribosomal RNA". From Rfam's summary of the family: 5.8S ribosomal RNA (5.8S rRNA) is a component of the large subunit of the eukaryotic ribosome. Lineage: Eukaryota; Viridiplantae; Streptophyta; Magnoliopsida; Fabales; Fabaceae. RNAcentral also lists the same sequence under 1 other name. The record is from RNAcentral.